CUCCGUAGGGUGACCUGCGGAGGGAUCAUUACCGAGUUUACAACUCCCAAACCCCUGUGAACAUACCUAUCGUUGCCUCGGCGGUGCCCGCUCCGGCGGCCCGCCAGAGGACCCCCAAACUCUUGUUUUAUACAGUAUCUUCUGAGUAACACGAUUAAAUAAAUCAAAACUUUCAACAACGGAUCUCUUGGUUCUGGCAUCGAUGAAGAACGCAGCGAAAUGCGAUAAGUAAUGUGAAUUGCAGAAUUCAGUGAAUCAUCGAAUCUUUGAACGCACAUUGCGCCCGCCAGUAUUCUGGCGGGCAUGCCUGUUCGAGCGUCAUUUCAACCCUCAAGCCCCCGGGCUUGGUGGUUGGGGAUCGGCGUGCCCUCGCGGCGCGCCGUCCCCUAAAUCUAGUGGCGGUCUCGCUGUAGCUUCCUCUGCGUAGUAGCAACACUCGCACUGGAUCGCAGCGCGGCCACGCCGUUAAACCCCCCACUUCUGAAAGUUUGACCUCGGAUCAGGUAGGAAUACCCGCUGAACUUAAGCAUAUCA
Molecule: ribosomal RNA, 534 nt
Filed under: Neonectria sp.
Lineage: Eukaryota; Fungi; Ascomycota; Sordariomycetes; Hypocreales; Nectriaceae
Description: eukaryotic LSU rRNA
Rfam family: 5.8S ribosomal RNA (bases 168-321)
Source: RNAcentral